AGCUUUUCGAAUCCGUGCUGAGAUCUCGUCAGACACCAACCCAUUAGGGCUGAUCAGACUUGAAGAGCGGUAAGACU
RNAcentral lists this microRNA precursor (77 nucleotides) under Schistosoma margrebowiei. Its description in RNAcentral is "mir-3492 microRNA precursor family". It matches the Rfam family "mir-3492 microRNA precursor family". The record is from Rfam by way of RNAcentral. Lineage: Eukaryota; Metazoa; Platyhelminthes; Trematoda; Strigeidida; Schistosomatidae.